GAUGAAGAACGUAGCGAAAUGCGAUAAGUAAUGUGAAUUGCAGAAUUCAGUGAAUCAUCGAAUCUUUGAACGCACCUUGCGCCCUUUGGCCAUUCCGAAGGGCAUGCCUGUUUGAGUAUCAUGAACACCUCAACUCUUCAUGGUUUUCCAUGAUGAGCUUGGACUUUGGGGGUCUUGCUGGCCUGUGGGUCGGCUCCUCUCAAAUGAAUCAGCUUGCCUGUUUUUGGUGGGCAUCACAGGUGUGAUAACUAUCUACGCUUGUGGUUUUCCACCAGGGUAACCUUCAGCAGUGGAGGUUCACUGGAGCUUACAAAUGUCUCUCCUCUGUGAGGACAGCCCUUUGAAUGUUUGAUCUCAAAUCAGGUAGGACUACCCGCUGAACUUAAGCAUAUCAAUAAGCGGAGGA
RNAcentral lists this unclassified non-coding RNA (406 nucleotides) under soil metagenome. RNAcentral describes it as "partial contains 5.8S ribosomal RNA, internal transcribed spacer 2, and large subunit ribosomal RNA". The stretch from base 1 to 121 matches the Rfam family "5.8S ribosomal RNA", at positions 35 to 154 of the family's 154-position model. The record is from RNAcentral.